Non-coding RNA from Staphylococcus pettenkoferi, 191 nucleotides. The record is from Rfam. NCBI's taxonomy places the organism in Bacteria, Bacillati, Bacillota, Bacilli, Caryophanales, Staphylococcaceae.
UAGAACCUGUUGUGUUCGAAAGUUUGCUUUUUAUUUGGGCCUAACACUCUUUGAUCCGGGAGCCCAAUAGGUUUUCUUGCGGCGCACAUGCCUCGUUCUGAGGACUUGCAAACCAAGAAACAGGGCACCCACCUGUACUUAGCAGGCCGAAUGAUCAAGCUUUUUACAACUACGGCACGAACGGAUUCUAU